This 212-nucleotide long non-coding RNA is filed under the name Vigna radiata. RNAcentral's name for it is "long non-coding RNA (VRAD_LNC001272)". The record is from RNAcentral. Lineage: Eukaryota; Viridiplantae; Streptophyta; Magnoliopsida; Fabales; Fabaceae.
ACAUUUAUAAUUUAAGCACAAACUCUCUAUAAACAACCAAUCUCACUCAUUCCCAAUUUUCCCUUUUCUUUGCAUUGAGCUUUUCUUCUCAUUCUAUCUUUUCUAUCUUUUUCAUCUUUUGCAUCUUUUCAUGCUUUGCUCAACACAUUAGCUCAAUGCUUAUCUUUCUUUCAAUUUUCCCAACAACCCCAAACUUGAACCUUAAUCAAUAC